RNAcentral lists this ribosomal RNA (434 nucleotides) under uncultured Lachnospiraceae bacterium. RNAcentral's name for it is "bacterial SSU rRNA". It matches the Rfam family "Bacterial small subunit ribosomal RNA", at positions 341 to 792 of the family's 1533-position model. Lineage: Bacteria; Bacillati; Bacillota; Clostridia; Lachnospirales; Lachnospiraceae. The record is from RNAcentral.
ACGGAAGGCAGCAGUGGGGAAUAUUGCACAAUGGGGGAAACCCUGAUGCAGCGACGCCGCGUGAGUGAAGAAGUAUUUCGGUAUGUAAAGCUCUAUCAGCAGGAAAGAAAAUGACGGUACCUGACUAAGAAGCCCCGGCUAACUACGUGCCAGCAGCCGCGGUAAUACGUAUGGUGCAAGCGUUAUCCGGAUUUACUGGGUGUAAAGGGAGCGUAGACGGCUGUGCAAGUCUGAAGUGAAAGCCCCGGGCUCAACUCGGGAACUGCUUUGGAAACUGUGCAGCUAGAGUGCAGGAGAGGUAAGUGGAAUUCCUAGUGUAGCGGUGAAAUGCUUAGAUAUUAGGAGGAACACCAGUGGCGAAGGCGGCUUACUGGACUGUAACUGACGUUGAGGCUCGAAAGCGUGGGGAGCAAACAGGAUUAGAUACCCUGGUA